This 77-nucleotide transfer RNA is filed under the name Bacillota bacterium. RNAcentral's name for it is "tRNA-Pro". It matches the Rfam family "tRNA". From Rfam's summary of the family: Transfer RNA (tRNA) molecules are approximately 80 nucleotides in length. Their secondary structure includes four short double-helical elements and three loops (D, anti-codon, and T loops). The record is from RNAcentral. Lineage: Bacteria; Bacillati; Bacillota. RNAcentral also lists the same sequence under 2 other names.
CGGGGUGUAGCUCAGCUUGGUAGAGCACUUCGUUAGGGACGAAGUGGCCACAGGUUCAAAUCCUGCCACUCCGACCA